This 333-nucleotide unclassified non-coding RNA is filed under the name soil metagenome. RNAcentral's name for it is "partial contains 5.8S ribosomal RNA, internal transcribed spacer 2, and large subunit ribosomal RNA". The stretch from base 1 to 121 matches the Rfam family "5.8S ribosomal RNA", at positions 35 to 154 of the family's 154-position model. The record is from RNAcentral.
GAUGAAGAAACGUAGCAAAAUGCGAUAAGUAAUGUGAAUUGCAGAAUUCAGUGAAUCAUCGAAUCUUUGAACGCACAUUGCGCCCGCCAGUAUUCUGGCGGGCAUGCCUGUUCGAGCGUCAUUUCAACCCUCAAGCACAGCUUGGUGUUGGGACUCGCGUUAAUUCGCGUUCCCCAAAUUGAUUGGCGGUCACGUCGAGCUUCCAUAGCGUAGUAGUAAAACCCUCGUUACUGGUAAUCGUCGCGGCCACGCCGUUAAACCCCAACUUCUGAAUGUUGACCUCGGAUCAGGUAGGAAUACCCGCUGAACUUAAGCAUAUCAAUAAGCGGAGGA